RNAcentral lists this ribosomal RNA (484 nucleotides) under uncultured bacterium. RNAcentral describes it as "partial 16S ribosomal RNA". It matches the Rfam family "Bacterial small subunit ribosomal RNA", at positions 30 to 507 of the family's 1533-position model. The record is from RNAcentral.
AUUGAACGCUGGCGGCAGGCCUAACACAUGCAAGUCGGGCGGAUGAAGGGAGCUUGCUCCUGAAUUCAGCGGCGGACGGGUGAGUAAUGCCUAGGAAUCUGCAUGGGAGUGGGGGAUAACGUCCGGAAACGGGCGCUAAUACCGCAUACGUCCUGAGGGAGAAAGUGGGGGAUCUUCGGACCUCACGCUAUCAGAUGAGCCUAGGUCGGAUUAGCUAGUUGGUGGGGUAAAGGCCUACCAAGGCGACGAUCCGUAACUGGUCUGAGAGGAUGAUCAGUCACACUGGAACUGAGACACGUUCCAGACUCUUACGGUAGGCAGCAGUGGGGAAUAUUGGACAAUGGGCGAAAUCCUGAUCCAGCCAUGCCGCCGGUGUGAAGAAGGAUUUCGGAUAUUAAAACUCUUGAUGUCAGUAGGAAGGGCAGUAGCAUAAUACCCUGCUUUCUUGACGCUACCAACAGAAUAAGCACCGGCUAGCUUCGUA